Long non-coding RNA from Acromyrmex echinatior (Panamanian leafcutter ant), 677 nucleotides. The record is from RefSeq and is a predicted model, not a curated record. NCBI's taxonomy places the organism in Eukaryota, Metazoa, Arthropoda, Insecta, Hymenoptera, Formicidae.
AACGCUACGAAUUAAUUCCAACACCUAAUAUAAUUCAACAUGAUCUUUUAUUUAGAAUGAAAUUCUAGAUAAUCAAAAAAGCACAACCACUGUUAAGAGUUCUGAUUAGCCAUCGCAGUGGCCAAUUAUGAGAUUGAUUCUUUGGGUAUCCCUUCAUGCAGUGUCAAAACUACAGCGGUUUCAGCACAUGAAAACAAGUUCAAAAUGUCUAAUAAACAUACGUCCGAUUCCGAACGAUUUCGGAAUUUUUUCUCGACGAAAUUGUUAGAUAAUAUUUUCGAAAAAACUACUGUUUUUAUGCAAUAAAAACUUAUUGAUGAAUAAAUAAAAGUGUGAAUACAGUAGAACCCGAAUUAUUAUGGUAGAGGACUUUUUGAUUUAGUUUAGUUCGCUCUAUUUAUCUAUAAACAGUGAUACACCUAUGUAAUUGAAGUUUGGAGCGUUCAUGGAGCGAAGAUUAAAAGUAAACCCAAACCACACAGACAGACAAUUGACGAUCUCUUGUAUGUAUACGUAUAAUCGAAAAAAAAUUUCCUACACUUGUUUCUGAUUGAAAUUAAAAUAGGAUAAUGUCCGAGAUUGACGAUAAAAAAAAAUGUACAUCUAAUGUCAGACACCAUAUACGUCGUUGAUGCCGAUCUAUCAUUGUCUCUUAAAAUAUAAGCUUUUCCUGCAAA